UUUUGUUGGUAGCCCUGUCCCCUAGAAACUAAGAGCUUCGCUCUCAGAGGCAUCCCGUUUACAUGACGAUUUGUGUCAUGCUGCUUUUGCCGAACUUUCCAGAAGGAGCAAAAGAAUGUGACCUUCACCAGCUCUGGGCAGGGCUAUCUGGCUGUGAAAGGACAUCAGCUACGCAGGGUUGCACUGCCUAGGUCAUGUCCGGAAAAACCAAGGUCCCACUUCUCCUGCCCAAACCUGCAGGUGUGAUAUCACUUUCCAGCAGGAGGCCCCUGGUGGGCAGAGGGAAGUUAUCUGCCCUGGGUAAUAAACAGGAGGUAUCUGCCCCAGAAAAGCAAGGCUCCACCCCAGGUCUCCUGCCAUUUGCCCUCAGGCCUGGACUAAGCACUGGGAUGCCUCUUCAUGGAGUUCAUCAGCAUCUGAAAGCCAGCGCAGCUCUCAGGGCGUCUCAGCAACACAGAGUAAUUCCAGCUUCUGCCUCACUGUCCCCAGUGCUCCUGCAUAGGCACCACAGCUCUCUGGGAUGUCCCAGGAGGACUCUGCUUGCUAUAGACUUGGUACAUUCUCCCUGGAAGAUUAAUGUCAUCCACGGGGACUUCACAAGUGACGCUGUCAUCCUCGCCCUCAGACUCUGAACUGUGCUCUGACCUGUCUUGGGAACGCUUUGAACCGUCCUCUUCUUUUCAAUCUGCCUCAUUCAUCUCAAGUAAGCCCACAUCCACUUGUACAACUUGGUCCAGGGGCCCUUCAAUACUUUCAAUAUUGAAAUGAUCAGGGGGAACAGCUUCCAUUUGGUAGCUUCUCAGUUGCCUGGGCCAUCCAUGGGAGAAAGUCCUAACCUUCGCCUAGAAAUGGACUCCUCUCUACUGGAACUGUUUGAAGAGUAGGGGUUUUUCAGGAAGCAGGUUUGGGGUUCAGGGGCAACUUGUCCCACAGACCUCCUAGGCCGUGGCACACAGUCAGCAGCACUUUGAACACCGAGCCCUGCGAGCACUCCCUAGUGAGUGCUGAGGGAUGCGGCAUGGACCUCCAUGUGUAUAGCCACCAUGCCAGGCUACUACUCUUAACUUGCUUCCUAGGGGACCCCUGCAGGCACCUGGGGGGAACCUGCCCCAGUCUGCAAGCUCCUUCUAGGACAAGGGCAGUGGGUGGCUCAGAAGUGCAUUGCAAGUAGGUAAGUAUGUGCUUUUGAUGAUAAGGAAGAU
This 1202-nucleotide long non-coding RNA is filed under the name Fukomys damarensis (Damara mole-rat). RNAcentral's name for it is "lncRNA (ENSFDAG00000028029.1)". Lineage: Eukaryota; Metazoa; Chordata; Mammalia; Rodentia; Bathyergidae. The record is from RNAcentral.